CGAAAUGCGAUAAGUAAUGUGAAUUGCAGAAUUCAGUGAAUCAUCGAAUCUUUGAACGCACCUUGCGCUCCUUGGUAUUCCUUGGAGCAUGCCUGUUUGAGUAUCAUGAAAUCUUCAAAGUAAAUCUUUUGUUAACUCAAUUGGUUGCUACUUUGGUAUUGGAGGUCUUUGCAGCUUCACACCUGCUCCUCUUUGUUCAUUAGCUGGAUCUCAGUGUUAUGCUUGGUUCCACUCGGCGUGAUAAGUUAUCUAUCGCUGAGGACACUGUAAAAGGUGGCCAAGGUAAAUGCAGAUGAACCGCUUCUAAUAGUCCAUUGACUUGGACAAUACUUUUAUGAUCUGAUCUCAAAUCAGGUAGGACUACCCGCUGAACUUAAGC
This 379-nucleotide unclassified non-coding RNA is filed under the name plant metagenome. Its description in RNAcentral is "partial contains 5.8S ribosomal RNA, internal transcribed spacer 2, and large subunit ribosomal RNA". The stretch from base 1 to 106 matches the Rfam family "5.8S ribosomal RNA", at positions 49 to 154 of the family's 154-position model. The record is from RNAcentral.